RNAcentral lists this ribosomal RNA (736 nucleotides) under uncultured bacterium. RNAcentral's name for it is "bacterial SSU rRNA". It matches the Rfam family "Bacterial small subunit ribosomal RNA", at positions 8 to 796 of the family's 1533-position model. The record is from RNAcentral.
AGAGUUUGAUCCUGGCUCAGAACGAACGCUGGCGGCAGGCUUAACACAUGCAAGUCGAACGCCCCGCAAGGGGAGUGGCAGACGGGUGAGUAACGCGUGGGAAUCUACCUAGAACUACGGAACAACUGAUGGAAACGUCAGCUAAUACCGUAUACCCUACGGGGAAAGAUUUAUCGGUUUUAGAUGAGCCCGCGUAAGAUUAGCUAGUUGGUGAGGUAAUGGCUCACCAAGGCGACGAUCUUUAGCUGGUCUGAGAGGAUGAUCAGCCACACUGGGACUGAGACACGGCCCAGACUCCUACGGGAGGCAGCAGUGGGGAAUAUUGGACAAUGGGCGCAAGCCUGAUCCAGCCAUGCCGCGUGAGUGAUGAAGGCCUUAGGGUUGUAAAGCUCUUUCAGUGGGGAAGAUAAUGACGGUACCCACAGAAGAAGCCCCGGCUACUUCGUGCCAGCAGCCGCGGUAAUACGAAGGGGGCUAGCGUUGUUCGGAUUUACUGGGCGUAAAGCGCACGUAGGCGGAUUGUUAAGUCAGGGGUGAAAUCCUGGAGCUCAACUCCAGAACUGCCUUUGAUACUGGCAAUCUCGAGUCCGGAAGAGGUAAGUGGAACUCCUAGUGUAGAGGUGGAAUUCGUAGAUAUUAGGAAGAACACCAGUGGCGAAGGCGGCUUACUGGUCCGGUACUGACGCUGAGGUGCGAAAGCGUGGGGAGCAAACAGGAUUAGAUACCCUAGUAGUCC